GAUGAACGCUGGCGGCGUGCCUAAUACAUGCAAGUCGAGCGAACAGACGAGGAGCUUGCUCCUCUGACGUUAGCGGCGGACGGGUGAGUAACACGUGGAUAACCUACCUAUAAGACUGGGAUAACUUCGGGAAACCGGAGCUAAUACCGGAUAAUAUAUUGAACCGCAUGGUUCAAUAGUGAAAGACGGUUUUGCUGUCACUUAUACAUGGAUCCGCGCCGCAUUAGCUAGUUGGUAAGGUAACGGCUUACCAAGGCAACGAUGCGUAGCCGACCUGAGAGGGGGCUCGGCCACACUGGAAGUGAGACACGGUCCAGACUACUACGGGAGGGAGCAGCAGGGAAUUUGCCGAAAUGGGCGAAAGCCUGACGGAGCAACGGCGAGUGAGUGAUGAAGGUCUUCGGAUCGUAAAACUCUGUUAUUCGGGAAGAACAAAUGUGUAAGUAACUAUGCACGUCUUGACGGUACCUAAUCAGAAAGCUACGGCUAACUACGUG
This 497-nucleotide ribosomal RNA is filed under the name uncultured bacterium. RNAcentral describes it as "partial 16S ribosomal RNA". It matches the Rfam family "Bacterial small subunit ribosomal RNA", at positions 28 to 507 of the family's 1533-position model. The record is from RNAcentral.